GAGUUUGAUCCUGGCUCAGGACGAACGCGGGCGGCGUGCCUAACCCAUGCAAGUCGAACGAAGCCAUUAAUUUCGGUUAAGGGCUUAGUGGCGGACGGGUGAGUAACGCGUGAGGAACCUGCCUUACAGGGGGGGAUAAUGUCUGGAAACGGACACUAAUACCGCAUGAUAUUCCAGCAUCACAUGAUSCAGGGAUCAAAGGAGCAAUCCGCUGUAAGAUGGACUCGCGUCCGAUUAGCUAGAUGGUGAGAUAAAGGCCCACCAUGGCGACGAUCGGUAGCCGGACUGAGAGGUUGAACGGCCACAUUGGGACUGGGACACGGCCCAGACUCCUACGGGAGGCAGCAGUGGGGGAUAUUGCACAAUGGAGGAAACUCUGAUGCAGCAACGCCGCGUGAAGGAAGACGGUCUUCGGAUUGUAAACUUUUGUACUCAGGGACGAUAAUGACGGUACCUGAGCAGCAAGCUCCGGCUAACUACGUGCCAGCAGCCGCGGUAAUACGUAGGGAGCGAGCGUUGUCCGGAUUUACUGGGUGUAAAGGGUGCGUAGGCGGCAGGACAAGUCAGCUGUGAAAACUAUGGGCUUAACCCAUAGCCUGCAGUUGAAACUGUUCUGCUUGAGUGAAGU
RNAcentral lists this ribosomal RNA (628 nucleotides) under uncultured Clostridium sp. Its description in RNAcentral is "bacterial SSU rRNA". It matches the Rfam family "Bacterial small subunit ribosomal RNA", at positions 9 to 652 of the family's 1533-position model. Lineage: Bacteria; Bacillati; Bacillota; Clostridia; Eubacteriales; Clostridiaceae. The record is from RNAcentral.